GACGAACGCUGGCGGCGUGCUUAACACAUGCAAGUCGAACGGAAAGGCCCUGCUUUUGUGGGGUGCUCGAGUGGCGAACGGGUGAGUAACACGUGAGUAACCUGCCCUUGACUUUGGGAUAACUUCAGGAAACUGGGGCUAAUACCGGAUAGGAGCUCCUGCUGCAUGGUGGGGGUUGGAAAGUUUCGGCGGUUGGGGAUGGACUCGCGGCUUAUCAGCUUGUUGGUGGGGUAGUGGCUUACCAAGGCUUUGACGGGUAGCCGGCCUGAGAGGUUGACCGGCCACAUUGGGAAUGAGAUACGGCCCAGACUACUACGGGAGGCAGCAGGGGGGAAUAUUGCACAAUGGGCGGAAGCCUGAUGCAGCACGCCGCGUGCGGGAUGACGGCCUUCGGGUUGUAAACCGCUUUCGCCUGUGACGAAGCGUGAGUGACGGUAAUGGGUAAAGAAGCACCGGCUAACUACGUG
RNAcentral lists this ribosomal RNA (467 nucleotides) under uncultured bacterium. RNAcentral describes it as "partial 16S ribosomal RNA". It matches the Rfam family "Bacterial small subunit ribosomal RNA", at positions 28 to 507 of the family's 1533-position model. The record is from RNAcentral.